RNAcentral lists this transfer RNA (72 nucleotides) under Metarhizium anisopliae. RNAcentral describes it as "tRNA-Arg". It matches the Rfam family "tRNA". Rfam says of the family: Transfer RNA (tRNA) molecules are approximately 80 nucleotides in length. Their secondary structure includes four short double-helical elements and three loops (D, anti-codon, and T loops). Further hydrogen bonds mediate the characteristic L-shaped molecular structure. tRNAs have two regions of fundamental functional importance: the anti-codon, which is responsible for specific mRNA codon recognition, and the 3' end, to which the tRNAs corresponding amino acid is attached (by aminoacyl-tRNA synthetases). tRNAs cope with the degeneracy of the genetic code in two manners: having more than one tRNA (with a specific anti-codon) for a particular amino acid; and 'wobble' base-pairing, i.e. permitting non-standard base-pairing at the 3rd anti-codon position. Lineage: Eukaryota; Fungi; Ascomycota; Sordariomycetes; Hypocreales; Clavicipitaceae. RNAcentral also lists the same sequence under 2 other names. The record is from RNAcentral.
GGCCAUGUAGCUCACUGGUAGAGCGUCUGACUACGUGUCAGAAGGUAGCGGGUUCGAUUCCUGCCAUGGCUA